Molecule: ribosomal RNA, 483 nt
Filed under: uncultured bacterium
Lineage: Bacteria
Description: partial 16S ribosomal RNA
Rfam family: Bacterial small subunit ribosomal RNA
Source: RNAcentral
UUGAACGCUGGCGGCAGGCCUAACACAUGCAAGUCGCGCGGAUGAAGGGAGCUUGCUCCUGGAUUCAGCGGCGGACGGGUGAGUAAUGCCUAGGAAUCUGCCUGGUAGUGGGGGAUAACGUCCGGAAACGGGCGCUAAUACCGCAUACGUCCUGAGGGAGAAAGUGGGGGAUCUUCGGACCUCACGCUAUCAGAUGAGCCUAGGUCGGAUUAGCUAGUUGGUGGGGUAAAGGCCUACCAAGGCGACGAUCCGUAACUGGUCUGAGAGGAUGAUCAGUCACACUGGAACUGAGACACGGUCCAGACUCCUACGGGAGGCAGCAGUGGGGAAUAUUGGACAAUGGGCGAAAGCCUGAUCCAGCCAUGCCGCGUGUGUGAAGAAGGUCUUCGGAUUGUAAAGCACUUUAAGUUGGGAGGAAGGGCAGUAAGUUAAUACCUUGCUGUUUUGACGUUACCAACAGAAUAAGCACCGGCUAACUUCGUA